UUAACACAUGCAAGUCGAACGGGAACUAUAGGAGCUUGCUCUUGUAGAUCUAGUGGCGGACGGGUGAGUAACGCGUAGGUAACCUACCUUAUACAGGGGGACAACACCGGGAAACUGGUGCUAAUACCGCAUAAUAUUGACUCAUGGCAUCAUGAGACAAUCAAAGGAGAAAUCCGGUAUGAGAUGGACCUGCGUCCAAUUAGCUAGUUGGUAAGAUAAAAGCUUACCAAGGCGACGAUUGGUAGCCGAACUGAGAGGUUGAUCGGCCACAUUGGGACUGAGACACGGCCCAAACUCCUGCGGGAGGCAGCAGUGGGAAUAUUGCGCAAUGGGGGAAACCCUGACGCAGCAACGCCGCGUGAAGGAUGAAGGCUUUCGGGUUGUAAACUUCUUUGAAUAGGGACGAAGAAAGUGACGGUACCUAUAAAACAAGCCACGGCUAACUACGUGCCAGCAGCCGCGGUAAUACGUAGGUGGCAAGCGUUGUCCGGAAUUACUGGGUGUAAAGGGCGUGUAGGCGGGAAAGCAAGUCAGAUGUGAAAGUCCAAGGCUUAACCAUGGAAGUGCAUCUGAAACUGUUUUUCUUGAGUGUCGGAGAGGAAAGUGGAAUUCCUAGUGUAGCGGUGAAAUGCGUAGAUAUUAGGAGGAACACCAGUGGCGAAGGCGGCUUUCUGGACGAUAACUGACGCUGAGGCGCGAAAGCGUGGGGAGCAAACAGGAUUAGAUACCCUGGUAGUCUACGCUGUAAACGAUGGAUACUAGGUGUAGGAGGUAUCGACCCCUUCUGUGCCGGAGUUAACACAAUAAGUAUCCCACCUGGGGAGUACGAUCGCAAGAUUGAAACUCAAAGGAAUUGACGGGGGCCCGCACAAGCAGUGGAGUAUGUGGUUUAAUUCGAAGCAACGCGAAGAACCUUACCAGGGUUUGACAUCCCUCGAAAAUCUAGGAGACUAGAUGUUCCUUCGGGACGAGGAGACAGGUGGUGCAUGGUUGUCGUCAGCUCGUGUCGUGAGAUGUUGGGUUAAGUCCCGCAACGAGCGCAACCCUUAUUGUUAGUUGCCAGCAAGUGAAGUUGGGCACUCUAGCGAGACUGCCGGCGAUAAGUCGGAGGAAGGUGGGGACGACGUCAAAUCACCAUGCCCCUUAUAUCCUGGGCUACACACGUACUACAAUGGCCGUUACAGAGGGCAGCGAAACCGCGAGGUGGAGCAAAUCCCCAAAGGCGGCCCCAGUUCGGAUUGCAGGCUGAAACUCGCCUGCAUGAAGACGGAAUUGCUAGUAAUGGCAGGUCAGCAUACUGCCGUGAAUACGUUCCCGGGCCUUGUACACACCGCCCGUCACACCAUGAGAGUUGGUAAUACCCGAAGUCAGUAGUUUAACCGUAAGGAGGACGCUGCCG
RNAcentral lists this ribosomal RNA (1399 nucleotides) under metagenome. RNAcentral's name for it is "bacterial SSU rRNA". It matches the Rfam family "Bacterial small subunit ribosomal RNA". The record is from RNAcentral.